Molecule: ribosomal RNA, 430 nt
Filed under: uncultured bacterium
Lineage: Bacteria
Description: bacterial SSU rRNA
Rfam family: Bacterial small subunit ribosomal RNA
Source: RNAcentral
UACGGGAGGCAGCAGUGGGGGAAUAUUGCACAAUGGGCGCAAGCCUGAUGCAGCCAUGCCGCGUGUAUGAAGAAGGCCUUCGGGUUGUAAAGUACUUUCAGUCGUGAGGAAGGUGUUAAGGUUAAUAACCUUAGCAAUUGACGUUAGCGACAGAAGAAGCACCGGCUAACUCCGUGCCAGCAGCCGCGGUAAUACGGAGGGUGCGAGCGUUAAUCGGAAUUACUGGGCGUAAAGGGCACGCAGGCGGUUAAUUAAGUUGGAUGUGAAAUCCCCGGGCUUAACCUGGGAAUGGCAUUCAAGACUGGUUAGCUAGAGUCUUGUAGAGGGGGUAGAAUUCCGAUGUGUAGCGGUGAAAUGCGUAGAGAUGUGGAGGAAUACCGGUGGCGAAGGCGGCCCCUGGACAAAGGACUGGACGCUCAUGUGCGAAAGC